AGUGAACGCUGGCGGUAGGCCUAACACAUGCAAGUCGAACGGCAGCACAGUAAGAGCUUGCUCUUACGGGUGGCGAGUGGCGGACGGGUGAGGAAUACAUCGGAAUCUACUUUUUCGUGGGGGAUAACGUAGGGAAACUUACGCUAAUACCGCAUACGACCUACGGGUGAAAGCAGGGGAUCUUCGGACCUUGCGCGAUUGAAUGAGCCGAUGUCGGAUUAGCUAGUUGGCGGGGUAAAGGCCCACCAAGGCGACGAUCCGUAGCUGGUCUGAGAGGAUGAUCGGCCACACUGAAACGGAGACACGGUCCAGACCCCUACGGGAGGCAGCAGGGGGGAAUAUUGGACAAGGGGCGCAAGCCUGAUCCAGCCAUACCGGGUGGGUGAAGAAGGCCUUCGGGUGGUAAAGCCCUUUUGCUGGGAAAAAAAAGCAGCAGGUUAAAACCCCGCUGUUCUGACGGUACCCAAAGAAUAAGCACCGGCUAAUUUCGU
This 491-nucleotide ribosomal RNA is filed under the name uncultured bacterium. RNAcentral's name for it is "partial 16S ribosomal RNA". It matches the Rfam family "Bacterial small subunit ribosomal RNA", at positions 29 to 506 of the family's 1533-position model. The record is from RNAcentral.